Molecule: ribosomal RNA, 459 nt
Filed under: uncultured bacterium
Lineage: Bacteria
Description: bacterial SSU rRNA
Rfam family: Bacterial small subunit ribosomal RNA
Source: RNAcentral
AUUGAACGCUAGCGGCAUGCCUUACACAUGCAAGUCGAACGGCAGCACGGGGGCAACCCUGGUGGCGAGUGGCGAACGGGUGAGUAAUGCAUCGGAACGUGCCCAUCGAUGGGGGAUAACUGCGCGAAAGCGUUGCUAAUACCGCAUACGACCUACGGGUGAAAGCAGGGGACCGCAAGGCCUUGCGUCGAUGGAGCGGCCGAUGCCGGAUUAGCUAGUUGGUGAGGUAAAGGCUCACCAAGGCGACGAUCCGUAGCUGGUCUGAGAGGACGACCAGCCACACUGGGACUGAGACACGGCCCAAACUCCUACGGGAGGCAGCAGUGGGGAAUAUUGGACAAUGGGCGAAAGCCUGAUCCAGCAAUGCCGCGUGUGUGAAGAAGGUCUUCGGAUUGUAAAGCACUUUUGGCAGGGACGAUGAUGACGGUACCUGCAGAAUAAGCUCCGGCUAACUUCGUG